This 383-nucleotide ribosomal RNA is filed under the name uncultured fungus. RNAcentral's name for it is "SSU rRNA". It matches the Rfam family "Eukaryotic small subunit ribosomal RNA", at positions 587 to 972 of the family's 1831-position model. The record is from RNAcentral. Lineage: Eukaryota; Fungi.
AGCUCCAAUAGCGUAUAUUAAAGUUGUUGCCGUUAAAAAGCUCGUAGUCGAACUUCGGCCUCUGCCACCCGGUCCGCCUAUUUGGGUGUGUACUGGGAGUGGUGGAGGCUUACCUCGUGGUGAACGGCCAUGUCCUUUACUGGGUGUGGUCGGGAACCAUGACUUUUACUGUGAAAAAAUUAGAGUGUUCAAAGCAGGCUUACGCCCGAAUACAUUAGCAUGGAAUAAUAAAAUAGGACGUGCGGUCCUAUUUUGUUGGUUUCUAGGAUCGCCGUAAUGAUUAAUAGGGAUAGUUGGGGCAUUCGUAUUCAAUUGUCAGAGGUGAAAUUCUUGGAUUUAUUGAAGACGAACUACUGCGAAAGCAUUUGCCAAGGAUGUUUUCA